This 1297-nucleotide long non-coding RNA is filed under the name Malus domestica (apple). RNAcentral describes it as "long non-coding RNA (MDOM_LNC013545)". Lineage: Eukaryota; Viridiplantae; Streptophyta; Magnoliopsida; Rosales; Rosaceae. The record is from RNAcentral.
UUUCCUAUUUUGGUUUGAUCUUUCCUAAAUCCUAAAUGUCCCUAAGUUCCAGCAACAUUGAAGGUUUCCUAUGCAUUUUAGGACACAAAUUAAGGGUUCCUUGUACCAUAACAAACCUUUGCCGUGCACUCCAUCCAUGUUUAAUUCUUGCAUCAAUCAUCACUUCACUUUCACCUUUGAAUCAUUUCAACACCACUCCAUUUUACCCAUGCUUUGCAUCAUUACUUCACUUUCACCUUUGAAUCAUUUCAACACCACUCCCUUUUACCCAUGCUUUGCCUUGCACUUCCUCUAUAAAUGGAAGUGUGUGUAACAUAAAUGGAGUUCAUACUUUGUUAGAUCAUUCACUCCCAUUUUCAACGCAACCUUCAUCCAAACACAUCCAUUCAUCUUCACAUCCAUUCCUCCAUACAAACAAACCUUCAAACACUCACCAACACCUUGUGCCGUAGCAAAGGAAGGGAAGGAAAGUGCUUAGACAUGCUUGCUGUCCAACUUGGAUCGUUGGAGCAUGUAGGUGUUUUCUUUCUUUUGUUUCUAAUGUUUAAAUUCAUUUCCUUUCGUUUUGUUGUAAAUAUGAGUGGCUAAACCCCUCUUGGCUAGGGGUGAUUUCAAAGCCAUGAUUAUGUGUGCAAUAUAAUUUAAUAAAUUCCAGUUAUGAACUCUUGAAUCUUGAAUGCAAUUGGCUUAACUAUUUGAUUGAUAACUUAUUUGUAUUUGUUAGUUAAGGGUCGACACUUAAUUGGCAUGCAUAAAUCCGUUGCUAGAAUAUAAGGAAGUUUCACAUAAUCGUUACAAACUUAUAUUCACAUGUAGUGAAGGUCGCUUAUAAACGAUCGCGUUAAGUUCAAUUCCUAGCAUGAGUGACAUGAUGUCAUAGUUGCAAGUGCUUUGUCAAUACUUAUGAUUUUCAUUAAAUGUAAUGAUCUUUGAUUGUAUCUCUAUUAUGAUGUCAUGUAGGGAACUUUAGAAGAAUGUUUUGGGUUGUCGAAUGAUGUCAUCCAAUUCAAUAAAACAAGGAAAAUAUGAGAGUUAACUAGUGAUGUCACAGUUAAUUUGGAGCAUUGUCGUUCAUAAUUCAAUGAAGUAGUAACUGGAAAUCGAAUUAUUUGCAUACAUGUCAUGUGUGGAGAAAAAGCCUCUAGCUAUCCCAUCCAUCAUCUUAUUUCUCAAAUUUAUUUUACAAUCUGUCUAGUUUUUCAUACUUGUUUGUUUGUUACAACUUCAUCCAAAUCAAAACCCCCCCUUUUAGUUUCUUGUUUCAAAGUGUUUCAAAUCUGUUUUAGUUUGUGUUUUU